This 4568-nucleotide long non-coding RNA is filed under the name Xyrichtys novacula (pearly razorfish). The record is from RNAcentral. Lineage: Eukaryota; Metazoa; Chordata; Actinopteri; Labriformes; Labridae.
UUUUCGGCAGCGUUGGUUUGUUUGUUUGUCUGUGAACAACUUUACGGAGAAAGUAACAGAUGGAUUGACCUGAAAAUUUCACCAGAGGUGCGUCUCAGCCCCAGGAAGAUCCCAUAAAAUUUUGGUGAUCCAGACAAAAUUCUGGAUACUGUGAUCCGGAACACACAAAAAUAUGGGUGUCGUUGCAAUUUUCAAUGCUGAAAGAUAAGCAAUGGGUGGCACAGUGGUGUAGUGGUUAGCACUGUGGCCUCACAACCAGAAGGUUUUGGGUUCAAAUCCUGGUCAGGGCAUUUCUUGUUUAAGGGGGGACAUGAGCUGCUUUGCGGAGGUCUGCGCUCUCCGAGUGCUUUUCUAGUUUGUCUGUUAGCAACUUUACGGAGAAAGUUACUGACGGAUUGACCUGAAAUUUUCACCAGAGGUGCGUCUCAGCCCCAGGAGAAUCCCAUUACAUUUUGGUGGUGAUCCGGAUCGUCAUCUGGAUCCAGGAAUUUUUUGAAGGAUUCUUUAUCAUUGUGAGAUAGGGCAAAUUUUGGAAUUUUUGCAUUUAACUCUAUAAAAAUGUCCAGAGUCUUUAGUAAAAAACACAAAAGGAUCUCAAUGAGUUUUAUGAGGUGUCAAAGGUUGAUCCUGAUCCAGACAAAAUUCCGGAUACUGUGAUCCAGAACACACAAAAAUAAGGGUGACGUUGGAAUUUUCAAUGCUGAAAGAUAACCACUGAAGAUACAAGGAAGUGUACGCUUAUAAAUAUUGCAUAAUAAAUCAUGGAUUUAUGUAUCUAAUAUGAGCUUUGUUGUUUUAGGAACAUUAUGAACAGUAAACACACCAGUUUAAACACCAAAGUUUAUAAAAGACACGUAACAGUAAACGUUUUGGUGUGAAUCACAAUAUAAGGAGGGACAUGAGCUGCUUGGCGGAGGUCUGUGCUCUCCGAGUGCUUUUCUAGUCGGUUUUGUGAGCCAAAUUUAUUUUCAUCCUCAGCAGGUCAGAUGACAAACCGAAGACCGAGAGCUGCAGCAAAAGUUUCUAAUUCAACCAUCAAAGUUAGAUAUUUUAUAAAAAUUUAGUUUGUAGACAAAAAAAGAUCCUUGAAACAUUCCUCUCUCAUCACAACUCCGAAAUCAACUAAACAAUCUGAUGAGAAAGUGUCAGCUAACAAAGUCUUUUAUUUACAUGCAUUAGUUAUACGUGGUGAUAUGGCCCUAUUUAUGAAUACAGGUGCAUACAUGAAAAGCUGAGGCAGGGAGAGCAGCAGCAAAGACUUGGGGUACAACACAGAGCAGACAUUAGUGACAAUACAUAAGACACUGCAACAUUUAGUUACAGCAUGAAAGAAGGAGCUGGAGUGAAGGCUAGCUGCACAGCAAUCUGCAGAGAAUAGGCAAAGAAAACCACUGACACUAGCUGAGCUGUAAAGAUCAGCUCAUGUUUUGUGGGCUGAGAUUGACUUUGUGGCCUGCCUGAACUAAUACUGCACUCAGGUUUUGGGAUUUUCCCAUUCUACUCAGCUAAGGUGACCGCAGGAACCAGGGUCUAAAUUUAGUUCUGGGAAAGAGGAUCUCCCCCUUGAAAAGCCCCUGCUUUGAGGGUCUGAUGAUUUCUUGACAUCUAAAAUGCAGUUAAUUUGCAUUGAGAUACUGGCAGACACACAGAGGAGGAUAACCUAAUAUCAUCUGAACAGUAAAACUAUGUACACGAGUUUUGUACCAUCCUUAGAUGCCAUUAUUGAAUUUAACAUUUUAAAUCAUGUUGUUUUUUCAUGCCUUGUUUAAUUAUGAUUUUUUUGAAUGACUUCCAAACUUUUGGCCUGUACUGUACAUUUCUGGGUGUGAUAAUUGAUCACUGAUUGUAAAUAAUGUUGAAAGUAAGAAGUCCUAAAGUGACACCUAAGGACAUUGUUGAUCAAAAGUCUCUUCCCUGAAACUUUGGGUGAGCUUACCUCUGGACUUUUGUCUCUUCAGCACUUUGCAGACCUGCACGUAAAACCUCUCUGUCAGGUAUGGGACUAGAUCAUAUCCCAGCAUGCACAGGAGCUUGGACCUCCUGCAGUGAAGCUGAAUAAGUACAUUUUCCAGUUCCCCCAAAUACAUUUAAAAUCCAAAUACACAAGGAAACUAGCUUUAAAAUUUUUUAUUAGCUUUAAAAUAUACAUCAGUUUACAAGCUCAGAAAAUAAAAUUAUAAGUAGAAUUUUAACAGUCUUUUUUGUCAUUUAGUUUUUCGUCAUUUUUAAAAUUUUAUUUCCAACAGGAAGUGAAACAAUCAAUCAGACCGGGAAAAACCCACCGACACAAUCAGAGGAACACGUGAACAAACAUGAGCAGAGAAAACAGUUCAGAUAACCCUGAAGGCACCACAGUCGGGGUCAGAGAUCAAACUGUGUGAUUGACAGCACCUGUGGGUGGAGAGCAAGGAGGCAGGGUUACAAUCUGCUGAAUGUGAAGUUCAGCUUCAAAACAUCCAACCAUGAAUAUUAAUACAAACACUCCUCAGACCUCCUCCAUCCAGUCCAGUUCUCAGUUUCUUGGAAAAGUUCCACAUUUCAUCCAUCCUCAGGUGAGUCCACCUCCUGAUUGUGUGCCUGAGCUGUGGCCCGUGCCUUGUUGAGGUCCUCAGCUCUGCACACAGCUGCUUGUUUCCUGUCUGUUUGUGAGCCCAAAUGCUAGCUGUGCAGAACACCAACCAGCACAGUGACAGAAUAAUCUCAGAGCAGGCUAAUGAAGCAAGCAAGCUAAUGUUGGCCAGGUUAGCACAGACAAAUUACUAGUUUAUCUACUAGCUAGUGUUUGCAAGCUUCUUAUAUGGCGUUUUGCAACAAAAAAACUAAAAUAAAUAAAUAAAACAGGAAACUUUAAUGGGGGAAAUGUGUAUAUUGUAAUACACAGAUGGACACUCGAUGUUGUGGCGGGUGAGUUAAACCCCUGCAUCUAAGAAACAAUGGUGCACUAAACUUAAGACCAUCCUGAGUCAGCCUACAGCAAUCUGUGACCUGCAACAUAAACUAAAGGGCCUGCUUAGUGGGCAUUUUAACCUUUGUAACAUCUUGCCCAAGUGUGAUCAAGUUCACCCAUUUAUUAAGCAACUCAAACGUUGACUUUUUAUGCUUGUCUGAGACCUGGUUAAACUUGACCUCUCUGGUGGUUGGGCUGCAUGUACCAGGCCACAAUAAAUACAGAAAUGAUCAGAAGGGGAAUAGGAGUGGGGGAGUAAUGUUAUAGACAAGGGAUCACCUAAAGUGCAGUCAGACAGUAUAGAAGUGGACACAUUACCUUGAAUGUAUCCGUCUUUAUAUAUCUCUCUCUCCACAAAUGAUAAUAACUCUAACUGGGAUGUAUAGACACCAACAACAUGUUUUAUAAGGAGUCGCAGUUAAUAGUCAAGGAAUGCGGCUCUAUGAAUGAAAUCAUACUACUUGGCUAUUUAAACAUAAACUGGUUAGAUAUGAUAAUUAGGAAACAUUUUAAAUCACUAGCGUCCACCAGAUUAACUGCCUCCUCUGAAACCUGCAUAGACCUUGUUUUCACAAAUAAGCCUGAGUGAAUCCCAAAGUCCUUUAAUUCAAUAACUGGUUUAUCAGACCAUAACCUGAUCCUGUUCUCCAAGAAACUUCCCAAAAACAGAUUAAUCCACUCCCACAUUAGAUCUGAGCAAAUGAGAAUACCUAAGAGGGAGAUUCCAAAUCUAACACAGGCAAUACAAAACAAUAAUUGGGCUGAACAUCUUACUCAUACAAAUGUCAAUAGCAACUCUAAUAUUUUUAUGAUUGUGAUACAAGGAAAAAAAUUCUGCAUUCAUGAGGAAAAUCAAAAUUAAACCAUCAAACAAAGAAUCACUUCCCCUGGUUAAAUGAAAAUUUAUGGUCACUGAUGAAAAAACGAGACCAUGCACUAAAAAUAUUGCUAAAAACUGGUAGGUUAAACGACGGACAAGUAUUCUCCUUACUUAGAAACAAGGUAGUUCGAGGUAUGGUAUGAAAUGAAAUCCUGCUGCCCCUUUUUUGAAUCUAUGUGUGGUCUCUCAAUCCCAGGUUGAUGGGAUGAAGGCCAAAGAUUUAUCUGGCAUGGACAUCAUGUUUCUGACAAACACUGCUUUUUAGUAUAUUUAUUAAUGACUUCCCAAGUUGUUGUCCUUCAAAUGUAAUCUGUCUAAUGUAUGUUCAUGCAAAAGACAGUGAGCAAACUGUCCAGGAAUUGAUUUGUACCAAGACUAAUGUGUAUCACUGGCUUGAGAGCUCUCAGCUGCAUCUCAACAUCUUCAAAACAGGAGUGUGAGAGGCGUCGACUUAUAGUUAAAGAAAAACUGAAUGGGACUUGGGUAUUGUAACUUGUAAGUUUUUAACUUGUAAAAACUUGACCUCUGACUUGCUCAUUAUAAGUAAAAAAAAAUUGAAGACAUUUAAGAAAGAUUAAUAUUUUUGAUUUAGUUAAGAACUCAGGCCUGACUGCUGGCCUUUAAUAUUUUCAAAUAUGAUGAUUCUGGACUUAUCAGCAAAGACUUUCUUCUAACCCAUAAAAUACUUAGAUUUGAGUUUUUGCAGUGUCCUGUUAAACAUUGUUGCCAGCCUGAUAAGUC